GACGAACGCUGGCGGCGUGCUUAACACAUGCAAGUCGAACGGAAAGGCCCUGCUUUUGUGGGGUGCUCGAGUGGCGAACGGGUGAGUAACACGUGAGUAACCUGCCCUUGACUUUGGGAUAACUUCAGGAAACUGGGGCUAAUACCGGAUAGGAGCUCCUGCUGCAUGGUGGGGGUUGGAAAGUUUCGGUGGUUGGGGAUGGACUCGCGGCUUAUCAGCUUGUUGGUGGGGUAGUGGCUUACCAAGGCUUUGACGGGUAGCCGGCCUGAGAGGGUGACCGGCCACAUUGGGACUGAGAUACGGCCCAGACUCCUACGGGAGGCAGCAGUGGGGAAUAUUGCGCAAUGGGCGGAAGCCUGAUGCAGCAACGCCGCGUGCGGGAUGACGGCCUUCGGGUUGUAAACCGCUUUCGCCUGUGACGAAGCGUGAGUGACGGUAAUGGGUAAAGAAGCACCGGCUAACUACGUG
Molecule: ribosomal RNA, 468 nt
Filed under: uncultured bacterium
Lineage: Bacteria
Description: partial 16S ribosomal RNA
Rfam family: Bacterial small subunit ribosomal RNA
Source: RNAcentral